This 175-nucleotide non-coding RNA is filed under the name Clostridiaceae bacterium. Its description in RNAcentral is "6S RNA". It matches the Rfam family "6S / SsrS RNA". From Rfam's summary of the family: E. coli 6S RNA was the first non coding RNA to be sequenced, but its function was unknown until recently. Lineage: Bacteria; Bacillati; Bacillota; Clostridia; Eubacteriales; Clostridiaceae. The record is from RNAcentral.
AUAUGCCUGGAAUGUUUGACACUCCUCAUAUUGAGCCACCAUGACACAAAAGGGAGUCCGGGUUAGUGUGGAAUACGGUCGUACCGCCUCCGAGCGGAGGGUCUAAGACCACCGCAGGGCACCCACCUAGCAAAAUGCUGGGCGUCAAUCGAGGGAUCGGCAUUCCGGGUCUUGU